GCAGUGGUGGCUCAGUGGUAGCAUUUUCGCCUUCCCUGCAGGAAACCCAGGUUCAAUUCCUGGCCGAUGCA
Molecule: transfer RNA, 71 nt
Filed under: Loxodonta africana (African savanna elephant)
Lineage: Eukaryota; Metazoa; Chordata; Mammalia; Proboscidea; Elephantidae
Rfam family: tRNA
About the family: Transfer RNA (tRNA) molecules are approximately 80 nucleotides in length. Their secondary structure includes four short double-helical elements and three loops (D, anti-codon, and T loops).
Source: Rfam by way of RNAcentral